GACAAUGGGCACAAAUGGAGAAGUGAGAAGUAAAUCCUUAUAAUUUGAUGGUGAUUAGGCUAAAUUUUAUUGUUACAAAUUCAAAUUUUAGUAUUAAUAAAUUUCUGGAUCAUCAAUUUGAUUCUAAUAAUUCUCAUCAAUAAUGAGUGAUUCGAUCAAGAGAGAGAAACAAGGAGAUGGAUUUGCAGAACUUCAAUUGACAACAAAUAACAUCAAACAUGAGCCAACCUUAGAGGAAGCGCCAACUACUACUGAGAAAUGGAGAAGAUGAGUGAGUCGAUGAAGAGAAGAGCGAAUGAAAUUACAGAAGACCUAUUACCAACCAAAUCGAGGAAAAGAUAUGACGAUGCUUACAAAAAAUUUGUUCAAUGGCUGAAUGAAGAUGAUAUUAAAGACAAUGGUAGUUUUAUCGUAGUUUUCCUUGAAGAAGGAAAAACUCAUUCGAAGAGAAGCUUCACAAUAACUGAUGAAGAUUGCCCUUUCAGCCCUUGUGAAUUGAUCCGCAAAUACAUAUCACUUCAUCCAUGAACUAUGAUAAGUAAAAGAUUAUUUAUAAAGUACAACCAGGGAAAGUGUUCAUCUCAGCACAUAGGUAAAAAUACUAUAGCUGCUGUGCCAAAGAAAGUAGCUCAGUACCUUGGACUUGAUAAGCCUGAAAGUUAUACCAUCCAUGCACUACAACGAACAUCAGCUUCAAUGUUAGUUGAAGGUGGGGGCGAUUUGCUCACUCUAAAAUGACAUGGAGGCUGGAAAUCAUCUUCAGUUGCUGAGGGCUAUA
RNAcentral lists this unclassified non-coding RNA (778 nucleotides) under Nilaparvata lugens (brown planthopper). RNAcentral describes it as "gastrula zinc finger protein XlCGF57.1, transcript variant X3". The record is from RNAcentral. Lineage: Eukaryota; Metazoa; Arthropoda; Insecta; Hemiptera; Delphacidae.